UACGAAGGUGGCAAGCGUUGUUCGGAUUUACUGGGCGUAAAGGGAGCGUAGGCGGUCUGGUAAGCCCUCCGGGAAAUCUCCCGGCCUAACCGGGAAAGGUCGGAGGGGACUGCUUGACUAGAGGGCGGGAGAGGAGCGCGGAAUUCCCGGUGUAGCGGUGAAAUGCGUAGAGAUCGGGAGGAAGGCCGGUGGCGAAGGCGGCGCUCUGGAACGAUCCUGACGCUGAGGCUCGAAAGCGUGGGGAGCAAACAGG
This 253-nucleotide ribosomal RNA is filed under the name uncultured bacterium. RNAcentral describes it as "partial 16S ribosomal RNA". It matches the Rfam family "Bacterial small subunit ribosomal RNA", at positions 524 to 776 of the family's 1533-position model. RNAcentral also lists the same sequence under 2 other names. The record is from RNAcentral.